CUAGACAACCUACCGACAUUGUAGUAAAAAUUCCAAAACCAUUACCACAAUUCCAAAGUACUCCAAGACAGCAGCAAUAUGUACAGGAAGUCCCAACUCAGAGACAAGCUCAACAAGACCAAAGGCAGCAAUCCAAUAUCAUCUACCAAUAUCAAUAAUGAUUAAUUUAUGAAUAACAUAUAUUUAUACUCAAGUAUUGAGAAUCCAUUGAGACUGUAGGGAUGAAAUAUCGAAUAAAAUUUUUUUUCUA
Leptinotarsa decemlineata (Colorado potato beetle) is the source of this 250-nucleotide long non-coding RNA. The record is from RefSeq and is a predicted model, not a curated record. NCBI's taxonomy places the organism in Eukaryota, Metazoa, Arthropoda, Insecta, Coleoptera, Chrysomelidae.